AGAUUCUCCCCAGACGCCAAGGUUGCGGGUCAUGGAGUCCCGAACCCUCCUCCUGCUGUUCUCGGGAGCCGUGGCCCUGAUCCAGACCUGGGCAGAUUACAAUUACAAUCAAGGCAGAAAUGAUCUCAUUUUUACAUUACAACUCUGGAAAAGGCAAUAGACUGAGAUGCAAGUGUGCCCCCAAGUGAUGGGCAGAAGGAGAGAAGGUGUUUUGGAUGCAUUCUAGAACACAGGUAAUCUAAGGAGAGUUGAUCAAGGCCGUGGAAGAGUCCUCCAGCCACUAUUGGCCAUCAAAGGAGUCCUCUGUGUCCCAGGAAUGGUCCUGCUUUGGUGUCCCUGGUGUGACCCAUCACCCGCUGGGAACAGCCUGAGAGAAGUAGGGCCUCUGCACCAAUGCUGCUGAGGAUGUCAGAGCACAGGAACGAGGCCUUGGGAAAUUACCUGGAAAUGCGACUGAAAUCUUCCUUCCUGAGGGGUCUGGGCUCUUGGAAAUCAAACCCUCUCAGGUUGGGUGGCUGGACGAUUCUCCUCACACUUACAAUGGGACAAGGGGAACCAGGAGGCCCCCAAGGGGAUCCCUGGGUUCCACACGAACUCCUCCUACCCUCAUUGUGUGACAGCAGCCAUGCCUCCUCCUGGGGAUCAGGAUCUAUUACCUGUGCCUGGAGAGGAGGGGACUCCUCUUCUCACCCGCUGGUCUCUGGACACAUACUGUCCAAUUCCCCUGUGGCAGCUGUAAUGUGUAGUUCAAUGGGCACUCAUUUGUCCCCUUUUAAGGGUACCCUCCUUUAGAAUCCAGGACCUUCUACCCUGCAGAGUGUGGUUUUGGGAGAGAAGUGCAAAAUCCCACGACAGGUGAGUUGAAGGAAUGGGAUAUGGAGCCACAUCCACUUCCACCCCUUGGUAUCUGGACCCACGUGUUCUUCCUACUGAGAUUACAGAACUGUAGAGAUGUCUUUGAUUUUUAAAAUGCACCAUGUCCUGAAAGAUGGCACCCUCCCACCCGCAGAGUGCUUCCUGCAAGCUGGCGUUGAGCUGUGCCUAUAGAAGCUCUUUUCAACAUUCUUUAUGGCCAGCAGCCCUUGGUUGGUGCAGAUGGUGAUA
RNAcentral lists this long non-coding RNA (1104 nucleotides) under Homo sapiens (human). RNAcentral's name for it is "non-protein coding HCP5:4". The record is from RNAcentral. Lineage: Eukaryota; Metazoa; Chordata; Mammalia; Primates; Hominidae.